ACGGGAGGCAGCAGUGGGGAAUAUUGGACAAUGGGGGAAACCCUGAUCCAGCGACGCCGCGUGAGUGAAGAAGUAUUUCGGUAUGUAAAGCUCUAUCAGCAAGGAAGAAAAUGACGGUACUUGACUAAGAAGCCCCGGCUAACUACGUGCCAGCAGCCGCGGUAAUACGUAGGGGGCAAGCGUUAUCCGGAUUUACUGGGUGUAAAGGGAGCGUAGACGGUGAGGCAAGUCUGAAGUGAAAUGCGGAGGCUCAACCUCCGAACUGCUUUGGAAACUGUCUAACUUGAGUGCAGGAGAGGUAAGUGGAAUUCCUAGUGUAGCGGUGAAAUGCGUAGAUAUUAGGAGGAACACCAGUGGCGAAGGCGGCUUACUGGACUGUAACUGACGUUGAGGCUCGAAAGCGUGGGGAGCAAACAGGAUUAGAUACCCUGGUA
This 434-nucleotide ribosomal RNA is filed under the name uncultured Clostridium sp. RNAcentral's name for it is "partial 16S ribosomal RNA". It matches the Rfam family "Bacterial small subunit ribosomal RNA", at positions 341 to 792 of the family's 1533-position model. The record is from RNAcentral. Lineage: Bacteria; Bacillati; Bacillota; Clostridia; Eubacteriales; Clostridiaceae.